RNAcentral lists this long non-coding RNA (2628 nucleotides) under Triticum aestivum (bread wheat). RNAcentral describes it as "long non-coding RNA (TAES_LNC005908)". The record is from RNAcentral. Lineage: Eukaryota; Viridiplantae; Streptophyta; Magnoliopsida; Poales; Poaceae.
AUGCUCGGCGAGUACUGCGCCGACCUCUCGGACAUGCACAAGGCGCGCCACUACUACCGCGCCACCUCGCUCUCGGAGGAGGAGAAGCUCUACCUCCACCAAAUCGACGACUUCGCCACCGCCACCAUCGCCGAGUACGAGGCCAGCGUCGGCCCCGUCCCCGCCUUCGACAACCACCUCAGCCUGUUCAGCCAAGAAAUCCCACUGGAGUUCCCCGAACCCUUGGCUCCCCCUCCCGCUUCUUCGGCUUCGGCUUCGGCUUCGGCUUCGGCUUCUCACCACGAGUGAGUUCUCGCUCCUUGCACCAGCAUUCAUGGUCACUAUGCCUUGUGCCGGUUCCUUGCGAUUGCAAACUAAUUAGUCUACAGCCAUUUCAGAAUUCAGAGUAGUCUGCCUAGAACAGGCCUGUAUGUUUGCCCGGUUUCAACUCAAAAGAUGAAGUAAUGAUGUAGGCAAUGGAUAAUUGGAGAUUUUACCUCCUUGGAACUCUUCUAUGUCCGAUUGUAGUAAUCAAUUAACGGUUCAGAUUUUGUAUAGUACCAAGAUAGAUUAAUCACAGGCUAGUAGAAAUGUGCUAGUACAGUAGUACCUUGAUUUAUUCCACAGCCAGUAGAGCUGUAGAGGUGUGGUUGUAGCUCUAUUACCAUGGCUAGUAGUAAACUGGUCGUCAUCAGGGGAAUAAAAGUAGCAGCUAGGUAAAUUAUUAGGGUCGAACCAAUCUAUAAUUCGUUCCUGGCUGCCCUCAAGAUCUGCAAAGGGUCUUCACCAAUACACCCCCUCUCCGGUUUUGUCUUAGCAGCAAAAAGAUGUGACUGUCUAAAUCGAGUAAGUUAGUACUUGUUUCUUGAUCUGCUUGAGUUAAUAUCAGGUUCGCGAUCGAUUUGUUUCCUGAAUGGCCUUUCAUCCCAAACCAAAUUACCAACCUGUAGAUUAAAUUUUAGGUGUGGUGUGGCUUGGGCUGUGGAUAAUGCCUUCAGACUUGUCUGUCCUAGCUCCAAUUAUGUCUUGUUCUAUCUGCCUCGGAGCCUGGCAUUCACUAUUUCACUGCACACUUGAUUAUUCAAACUAGAAAUGAAUUACUUUAGGGUUAUAGAUAUCUUCACGUGUUCCUUUUGGUUUGAGACACCAAGAACUUGAGAGCUUUGUGAAAACAGUAAGAUCAAUCACAACCGGUGAGUACGAUGACAGGAUGCAGUUACUGAUUUAGCAGCCCUACUAAAUAGAUGUAGGUGGUAUUCCAUAGUAUAAAACCAGUAACUUGUGCUGAGAAAACAAAUAUGCCUUUGUGAACAGACAUUUGAUUGCUUUUGUUCUAUUAUAUAUUAGCUACAUAAUGUUUGUGCAUAUAUAUAGGUGGGAGCCCAGCUCUGGCUUCUGGUUCGAUCCCCCGUGCCACUUUCAACUCAAAAGUUGAAGUAGGGAUGUAGGCAGAAUGGGAGAUUCUAUCUCCUUGGGACUCUUCUACGUGUCCGAUUGUAGUAGUCACUUAACAGUUGAGGUUUGGUAUAGUACCUAGAUAGUGGUUGUAGCUCUAUUAGCUUGGCUACUAGUAGUAAAUUGUUCAGGGGCACAAAAGUAGUCGCUCGGUAUAUUGUUCAGGGUCAAACCAGUUAAUCUAUAAUUUGUUCCUUGCUGCCCUCAAGAUCUGCAAAGGAUCUUCACCAAUUAUUAUUCUCUUUCGCCGAACGUUUACCAUUGCUUUGCUACACACUGUUUAGAGCCCCUCCAGUUUUGUCUUCGCAGCGAAACAAUGUGACUGUCUAGAUGAAGUAGAAUUUUGAUCUGCUUCAGUUAAUGUCAGGUCCACCAUCGAUUUGUUUCGUGAAUGGUCUUUCAUCCCAAACAAAUGUACCAAACUCUAUAUUAAAGUGUUAGUUGUGGCGCGGCUUGAGCUUGUGGACAAUGCCUUCAGACUUCUUCAUCCUAGCUACAGUUUUGUCUUGUUCUAUCUACCUCUCAGAGCCUGGCAUUCACUAUUUGACCACGUUCUUGAUUUUUCAUAGUAGAAAUGAAUUGCUUUGGGGUUAUAGAUAUCUUCACGUGUUCCAUUUGGUUGGGGACUCGAAGAAGUGGAGAACAUCGCGAAAAUGGUAGGAUAACAUGAUAAGUACACUUGGAAAAGAGAGGCAGUUGCUGAUUUAGCAACCCUACUAAAUAGAUGUAGGUGGUAUACCAUAGUAUAACACCAGUAUACCAUAGUUAUAUUUAUAUAUUAGCUGUGCAUAUAUAUAGGUGGGAGCCCAGAUGUGGCUUCUGGUUCGACCCCCCAUGGAAGCGAGUUUAGCCACUUUGGUUAAAAUUCGUGUGGUUCCUCGGGGUCUCCGAUGUAGCUCCUUGAUAUAAUUUCGCGGGGCUCCUUGAUAUAAUCAAUUAACGGUGAUGGAUCUCAAGCUGAUGCUCGGCGAGUACUGCGCCGACCUCUUGGACAUGCACAAGGCGCGCCACUACUACCGCGCCACCUCGCUCUCGAAGGAGGAGAAGCUCUACCUCCACCAAAUCGACGACUUUGCCACCGCCACCAUCGCCGAGUACGAGGCCAACGUCGGCCCCGUCCCCGCCUUCGACAACCACCUCAGCCUGCUCAGCCAAGAAAUCCCACUGGAGUUCCCUGAACCCUUGGCUCCCCCU